UGGUAGAGCAGAGGACUGAAAAUCCUCGUGUCACCAGUUCAAAUAA
RNAcentral lists this transfer RNA (46 nucleotides) under Alpinia calcarata. Its description in RNAcentral is "partial tRNA-Phe". Lineage: Eukaryota; Viridiplantae; Streptophyta; Magnoliopsida; Zingiberales; Zingiberaceae. The record is from RNAcentral.